RNAcentral lists this ribosomal RNA (459 nucleotides) under uncultured bacterium. RNAcentral describes it as "partial 16S ribosomal RNA". It matches the Rfam family "Bacterial small subunit ribosomal RNA", at positions 29 to 507 of the family's 1533-position model. The record is from RNAcentral.
AACGAACGCUGGCGGCAUGCCUAACACAUGCAAGUCGAACGAGACCUUCGGGUCUAGUGGCGCACGGGUGCGUAACGCGUGGGAACCUGCCCUUAGGUUCGGAAUAACUCCCCGAAAGGGGUGCUAAUACCGGAUAAUGUCUUCGGACCAAAGAUUUAUCGCCUUUGGAUGGGCCCGCGUUGGAUUAGCUAGUUGGUAAGGUAAAAGCCUACCAAGGCGACGAUCCAUAGCUGGUCUGAGAGGAUGAUCAGCCACACUGGGACUGAGACACGGCCCAGACUCCGAAGGGAGGCAGCAGGAGGGAAUAUUGCGCAAUGGAAGAAAGGCUGACGGAGCAAAGCCGCGUGAGCGAAGAAGGCCGUCGGGUCGUAAAGCUCUGUUGUUAGGGAAGAACAAGUAUCGUUCGAAUAGGGCGGUAACUUGAAGGUACCUAACCAGAAAGCCACGGCUAACUACGUG